GAUGAAGAACGCAGCGAAAUGCGAUAAGUAAUGUGAAUUGCAGAAUUCAGUGAAUCAUCGAAUCUUUGAACGCACCUUGCGCCCUUUGGCCAUUCCGAAGGGCAUGCCUGUUUGAGUAUCAUGAACACCUCAACUCUUCAUGGUUUUCCAUGAUGAGCUUGGACUUUGGGGGUCUUGCUGGCCUGUGGGUCGGCUCCUCUCAAAUGAAUCAGCUUGCCGGUUUUUGGUGGGCAUCACAGGUGUGAUAACUAUCUACGCUUGUGGUUUUCCACCAGGGUAACCUUCAGCAGUGGAGGUUCACUGGAGCUUACAAAUGUCUCUCCUCUGUGAGGACAGCCCUUUGAAUGUUUGAUCUCAAAUCAGGUAGGACUACCCGCUGAACUUAAGCAUAUCAAUAAGCGGAGUA
RNAcentral lists this unclassified non-coding RNA (406 nucleotides) under soil metagenome. RNAcentral's name for it is "partial contains 5.8S ribosomal RNA, internal transcribed spacer 2, and large subunit ribosomal RNA". The stretch from base 1 to 121 matches the Rfam family "5.8S ribosomal RNA", at positions 35 to 154 of the family's 154-position model. The record is from RNAcentral.